RNAcentral lists this ribosomal RNA (1164 nucleotides) under Anaerotruncus colihominis. Its description in RNAcentral is "partial 23S ribosomal RNA". It matches the Rfam family "Bacterial large subunit ribosomal RNA", at positions 1 to 1175 of the family's 2925-position model. RNAcentral also lists the same sequence under 1 other name. The record is from RNAcentral. Lineage: Bacteria; Bacillati; Bacillota; Clostridia; Eubacteriales; Oscillospiraceae.
AGGUCAAGUGAAGAAGAGCAUAAGGCGGAUGCCUUGGCACUGGGAGCCGACGAAGGACGUGACAAGCUGCGAAAAGCUGCGGGGAGGAGCAAAUAUCUGCUGAUCCGCAGAUAUCCGAAUGAGGGAACUCACCUGUGGUAAUGCACAGGUAUCCAUAACUGAAUCAAUAGGUUAUGAGAAGGAAACGCGGGGAACUGAAACAUCUAAGUACCCGUAGGAAGAGAAAGAAACAUCGAUUUCCUAAGUAGCGGCGAGCGAAAGGGAAAGAGGCCAAACCGAUAGCUUGCUAUCGGGGUUGCGGACACUCAAGAUGUAUCCAUUGUUGAUAGUCGAAUAUGUUUGGAAAGGCAAACCGAAGAAGGUAAAAGUCCCGUAGACGAAAUUGACAAGGAGCAGAGUGGAUCCAGAGUAGGACCGGACACGUGAAACCCGGUCUGAAGCCGGGGGGCCCACCCCCCAAGCCUAAAUACUACCCAGUGACCGAUAGAGAAUAGUACCGUGAGGGAAAGGUGAAAAGAACCCCGGGAGGGGAGUGAAAAAGAACCUGAAACCUUAUGCUUACAAGCAGAGGGAGCGCAAGUGACCUCGUACUUUUUGUAGAACGGGCCAACGAGUUAUGGUAUGCAGCGAGGUUAAGGUGUAAAGCACUGGAGCCGAAGUGAAAGCGAGUCUUAAUAGGGCGAGAAGUUGCAUGCUGUAGACCCGAAACCGGGUGACCUAUCCAUGAGCAGGUUGAAGUAACUGUAAAAGGUUAUGGAGGACCGAACCCAUAUCUGUUGAAAAAGGUUGGGAUGACUUGUGGAUAGCGGUGAAAUUCCAAUCGAACUCGGAGAUAGCUGGUUCUCCUCGAAAUAGCUUUAGGGCUAGCCUCACAGAAAGAUACCCGGAGGUAGAGCACUGAAUGUUCUAGGGGCCUUCACCGGUUACCGAAAACUAUCAAACUCCGAAUGCCGGAAUAUCAUAUGUGGGAGUCAGACUAUGUGAGAUAAGUUUCAUAGUCGAAAGGGAAACAGCCCAGACCAACAGCUAAGGUCCCAAAAUGUAAGUUAAGUGGAAAAGGAUGUGGAGCUGCAUAAACAGCUAGGAUGUUGGCUUAGAAGCAGCCACUCAUUUAAAGAGUGCGUAAUAGCUCACUAGUCGAGUGGCUCUGCGCCGAAGAUAAAC